AAAAGACAAAACAAGAAGCAAAAACAUGAGCGACCCAAGCGGCCAAUCCUCAACAACAGCUGUCAGAGGAGACAGCAACGGCGGUGGUAAUAGCGGCGGCGGCGGCUCGUUUGCUAGUCAGCCGCAGAGAGCAAAGGUGAGGACGCAAGUGUGGGCUGGAGUUCUCGGCAUCACCAACAAAUAAUUUUGUUAUUCUUUUCACUUUUGACAACAAAAUGUCUAAGUGAAAAAUGGUGGUGGUGAACUGGUGAUUAUUAUGCUUUUGAUCGUUGUUCUUGUUAACUUGAUUGUGUCUAAAUAAACCAGCGAGAUCAUGAUCAUUAUCGUCAUUGUAAUGAGAUUUUGAAAAUUUUUUCUUUCUUUCAACUUCUGCAACUAAUUUUAGAAAACCCUAAACAAAAUUACAAAUAUUUAUUGUGUAGAUAAAAAUUAGAUUUCUCUCAUUUGAAUCGAUGUAUAAAGCGAUAUCAGAAACAAUAUCAUUAAUUGAGGGUCGAGUAGGCAGGGGCGGUCCUUAUAUUUCUGGGGCCCUGGGCGAAUUUUUUUUUUUUGUAAAAGGAUAAUAAAAUCGGGGGCCUAAUUACAAUAAAUUAAAAAAUUAGGGGCUUAUUUGUUAAUAAUUUUUUGCUGAUUUUUUUUUUAAAAAAUAGGGGCCCUAGGCGGUCGUUUCAUUCCGCUCUCCUCAGGACCGCCCCUGCGAGUAGGUACGUUGAUAUCGCUUGCGCAUAAUUUCAAAGUAAACUAAUGAGAAUUUGAUGCUAAGUUAAGUAAGCUACGCUAGUUUCUCAGAAUCACAUGGCCAUUAAAAUCAGAAGGAACGUGCAUUAGUUUAUAUAAAAGACCAUUUUAAAAGAAUUUUUAAAGGUAAAAUAAAACAGACUAUAAAAAUAUUAUAUGGUGUGUGGAGUGUUUUUGAAUGGAAUAAUAUCCACUAUAAGUAAAAAAUAAUAUAUAUAUAUAUAUAUAUAUAUUUUUUAAAUCCACCAUAAGUGCCAUUAUCCACAACAAAUAUUUAUAUAUAUCUCUCUAGCUAAAUUUUCACAGAUUAUGCGAGUUUACGAAGAUGCCUCUACACCAUAUGAAUAUGGUUUAGCCGUUUGUAAUUGAUAAGAAUUCAGUUUGAUAUAGAUGUACAUGUACCAUGAACGUCUACUAAUUUUCUAAAAAUUGCAAAAAAAUUGAUCAGAUGACAAAAUAAACAAUUUGGCAUACAAUGGACUUAAAUAGACCAAGUUGGUCUGGCCAAGUAGGCAACUACGAAUAUUUUAGAACUUUUAGCCUAUUAGAAAAUGCAUUGGGCUAUCAUAUUGGCUAUGUUUGAGCUAGGCUUGUCAGUUGGGUUGGACCACACCCAAAUAGAUAUGUCUAAGUGAGCGUUUUUUUUUCUGGGUUCAAAACACUCACACUCAUAUUCAGCCCACACCCAACAGCACUCAUACCCAGUAACACCCAUCACCCAAUUGAACACCCAAACCCGUCCAUUUAUAAGCAAUUUAAGUAUUAGUCCAAAUCUAUUUUUUUUUUCUGAACACCUACCUAAAUCUGUUUAAAUUCAAAUGGAAAAUUUCUUUAUAAGCAGCAGGGAAGAAAACCUUCAAUCAAAAACGAGAUAAAUAUGAGUUUUAUAAUCUAAACAAUUCAUCAUCAUCAUCAGAUUCAGAGCAAGAGUAAAACGAGAUAGAUUCAGAGCAAGAGUAGAACGAUUCAUCACAGAUUUACAAAACUGGAUCGAAGCUAAAAGCCAAAAACCCACAACAUAGAAACGAGAUGGAUGAUCGAAUCAUGAAACAUACCUGAAAUCGCGAGAAGAAAAAGUAGAAAAUGGAGAAAUCUUGUACGGAUUAAGAGAAUCAAAGCCGGAGAAGACGAAUCGAGAAGCAAAGAUCGAUUUUGCCAGACCGAUCGAGAAGAAAAGUCGAAAAGAAUCGCAAAAUAUUUUUUCCCCAAAUUGACUAAACUCUAGAAAUCAAGUGUUUUGGGCCAACCCAACAUCCAUUUGAUUUGGACCAGUUAACCCAUGGACAAAGUAGGUCUUUAGCCCAGUUAGACCAAAAGUUAUUUGGGUAUUACCAUCACCUACCCAUAUUUGUUUUGAAUGGGUGAACCCAUGAGUGGCCCAACCAAUUGACACCCCUAGUUUGAGCAAACCAUAGAAGGUCUCUAAUUCACAACCGGCUAGAUCCUUCUUGUAAGCGGUGCACCUCGUAGUUUAUACACCAAACAGAUUGAAUUAUUAUUAUUUACAUAUUUCUGCUUUAAUCGAAUUUAAAUUCAAAAUUUUAAUAAUUUAGACCACCUUAUAUAUAAUUUUAAGAAGUAAAUAUAGAUUAAUUAAGAAAAGGCCUAACAUUAUUAAGAUACAAAUACAUGUGAAAGUUUGAAAUAAUCUAUUUAAUGAAAAAAAUAUACCGUACACUUAUUAUGUCUUAAAAAUUGAUAGAUAUAUAUAUAUAUAUAUAAUAUAUACCAAUUUAAAAUUGAAAACAAAAUGUUUAUAUAAAAAUAAACAAAAACAAAACCUCCUGCGGUUGCGCGAGCCAAGAUCUAUUUAUGAUUAAAGAAAAGCAUUUUUGUGGUCCGCUUUAGGCGCUAUACGAAUCACAGACCGGCACUGAUCACAGAUUCACAGUAGACAAACUCUAACAUAACUAACCUUCAUAACGCACACGUACUGUUUCUUGUAUCACUUCACAAACUAAUACAAAACACCCUAUAUCUCCAAUCUCUCCAUUUUUUUACUAUGUACGUGAGCCCAUGACAAUAUCUUGAAAACCACAUCUUCCAUACUAAUAUCAUAACGUGUUUGGUAACGAGGAGAAUAAAAGAGCUCCACUAAGUUGCCAUUUACAAGAUUAAUUCUAAGUUCUAACAGAUAAGUCAGUCAAUAAACUCCACAGCCUCUGCAUGUUUCACUGAAAAAUAGUACUGAGGAAACAAAACUGACUUCACACUUCUUGGUGUCUUCCAUAAAUGUUCGAGAACAUUACAGCGUUCUUAAGUUUGGUGUGUCAAAUUAUAUGAACGUCACCACAACGAAAUCCGAUUAAUUGACAUUAUUAGAAAAAUUAAUUCUAAUCAAGAUUUGUUUGCUAGCAAAUAUAUGUAAUAUUAUAUCUCGAAGUUGUAUAAUCAUGAAACCUCCGUAAGAAGCUCGAUCCAUACAAGCUCAAGCUUCUUACACCACACCUGAUGGAAGACGAAGAACAAGCUGUCCACCCAUUAAACUGUUUCCAGAAAACAGACAGAAGUUCCAAGUCUUUAGGCAUUCAAAGGUUUUCAACAAUAGUGUCUAUAAUUAAGAUCCUUCAUUAAUUUUGUUUUACCUCUGGACAUAGUAAUAACAGAAAUCUGCAAGAAUGAAGGUUUGGACGAUUUCAGAGAGAAGGACCAUUAUAGGCCAUAAUCCAUAUCCUAAUGCAGUCAGUAACCGCCCUCCCGAAUCCAACACCUACACGCACGCGUUUCAUAUAAUCUUUCAGAAGCUGUAAUGCGAUAAAAAUGAUGAUUAAAAGAGUUUAUAUUAAAAUGUAACUCUCAAGAACCUGAAGGAUCCAGUGUGCACAACUCAAGAACCUUGCGAUUCCCAAAGCAAAAACGUAGUGUGCUGUAAAUGGUUCCACAAUCUGAGAAUAUAUGUAAGAGGUUAACAUUCGAAGAAGAUUCAGAGGCAACGUGAGUUUUAGUUUUAUUUAAAACAAAGCAGAUUAAUGAUUAAUUAAGACCUGAGUGUUCUGCAUGACUCUUAACUGAGGAAGAACUGAAACAGCUUCAAGAUAAACACAGAACGCCCAGAAGAGCCUGUUUAUGAUGUGGUGACGUGUGGAUGGAUGAAUGAGGAGUGAUACAACAGCACAUGGGACUACCUGAUGCAAACAAACCAAAUAUUAAAUUGGAGUCAAGAUUCUUAAUAAUCAAUAUGGUUACUCCUAUAAUCAAUGAUUAAGCGAGUGUUUAAUACCGGGAUCCUAACAAAAUAAACGACAUGCACGUAGAGUCAGAACGAAGAGAGAGCCUUUAAGUAUAUGAUUAGCCUCGACCUUGCCUUAAAUCUAAGAUAACUACUCAAAGAGUUUGGCAACUUACAACGUAGUAGAUGGGGAAGUUGUCUUUGUCUUCCAUAUAAGUGGGUCUAAGCUUGAGACGUAUCAUAUAGAUGACCCAAAGGGUCGUGACCAACGUAGCAGAGUCGAGUAACGUGUGAAGAUCAAAUUCCAUUACAAAGCUACAAUACAACCGCACGGCAAGAAACAGAGCCGUUAGCUCCUGCGUCUUGAGAGAUAUCCCUGUUUCAUCAUCGAUCACAUUCACAUGGAGGAUCAAAAGGAUUAUAACAGAACAAGAGCAUCCCAAAAAUGAAAUGUAAUAUAACCAGCGCAAGUCUUCUCCUUGGUGAGCUUGUAGAUGAGAAGGGAGAUGCCGAGGGCAUGGACAGCCUCGGAAGCAAUGAAAAGGUUGUCGUGCUCAUGGACAAUGACCUUGAGGAAGACGAGGACCGUCAUUGCCGUAACCACAGCAAAAAACGCCUUUACCUUGGGAGGCUGCCGGCGAAUCCACGACAUCACGCACUGAAUCGGACUCUUCUCCGCCUUCAUCGUUCUGAUUCCCUCCACAGACACACAAACUCUCUCUCUCUCUGAUUAACGAUAUGCCAGCCACAAAAUUAUCAACUUCGUUUUCAAUGGGAAACGAAUCUGCAUGUCUUAACGCAAGACACUUCUUUUGCGAAGAGGACACGUGGGGGAAGCUAGAGUUGCUGUUAGGUCAGAGAGGCUGAUAGUUUCUGUUUUUUUUUUCUAACGACUUGACUUGCAGCUACGUCUCUCUUUUCCGGAUUAGAAGAACUAUUGGUUUACUUCGGCAAAACUCAAUUUUACCGGGUUCUUCUUUAAACCGGCUAAUUGCGGUUCGAUUCAACUAAUUAAUGUUUUCCUUUUCGGUUUAGAAGAUUAAAAUGACGCCGCGAGCUCCCUUUGUUUCGGAUUAGACUAUUGGUUUACUUCGGAAAAAACGCGGGUUCUUUUUUGAACCGAGUAAUUUCGGUUCGAUUCAACUAAUUAAUGAUUUUCCUUUUUGGUUUAGAAGAUUAAAACGACGCCGUUUCGGGUUAGGGCAUAACUGACCAAGGGGGAGACACCGGAAACACACAACAGCGGUUUCAUUCUCAAAUCUGCCCCCAAGCUUGUUGGUAGAAGGAGAAGAAGAUGACAUCGGAUGAUGCUAAAGCUGUGAAGAAAGAGGAGGAUGAGGACGACAACAAGAGCUUGGGUUCCUUGGCUAGGAAGAAGCCCUCAAACGCCAACAAUGCAGGUUCGUCAGCUUCGAGGAAAUUGAAGAAGGACGAGGAUGAUGAUAACAAACCCAUUAAGUCGUCUUUAUCUGGGUCUCGUCCAAAGCCGGUUAAGAAGAAGGAGAUUGAUCAAGAAGACGACGACGAUGAGAAGCCUCUUUCCAAGAGGAAUUCCUCUGUUGUUGGCGUCUCAAAGGUUCCUUCUUUUCUCUUCUCUUUCGCUGUCUGAUUAUAAUUUCUUAGAGAUGAGAUUUGAUGAAGGAUUGUGUUGGUGUCUUUAGGAGAAAGAGUUGAAGAAAAAGAAGAUGGAGAAAGAGAAAGAGAAAGAAGAAGAAGAGGCAAAGAAGAAGAAUACGGUGAAAGAAGAAGGAGAAGUGAAGAAGAAGAAGGAGAAGAAAGUGUAUGAUUUGCCUGGUCAGAAGAGAGACCAACCUGAGGAGGUGUCUUUUGGACUCCUCCUUUUAUUCUGAUUUGUGAGAUUUGUGGCUAAUUCGUUUUAAUUUAAAGAACUUGCAUUGUUGAUUUUUUUUUUGUAAUUUCUGCAGAGAGAUCCACUUAGGAUUUUCUACGAGUCACUUCACAAGCAAGUUCCCACUAGCGAAAUGGCUAAGAUUUGGUGAGGCCUUUCUAUUCAUUCCUUUGUGUGCCUAUAUUGUUCUGCAACCUCGUUAUAGUUUUGAUAAGAUGAGCAAUUUCAACUGUAUAUUGUUUUGGUGUGACUCUGAUUAUUAUUAUGUUUGAGUUGAAGACUUGUAGUAUUCUGUUUUCGUUUGUUUCUUGUGUGUGGUGGCACUGGUAUUAACAGACUAACACUCUUCAUAUGAAAAGGCGAGUCCUUUCAACAAACCAAGAACAACACAAAGCAUUAUUAUUACAUCUCUGAUUGGUUGUGGUGUGGGUUCUGUUCAUAUUUUGCUUGAGAUUGCUCUGCUUAUUUGAAGACCCUUUUUUUCUUAUCUCAGGUUGAUGGAGUCAGGGUUGCUUCCAGCUGCAGAGGCAAAGAAAGUUCUUGAGAAGAAAUUGCAAAAGACUGGAAAGUUCAGUUCUCCAACAAAAUCUGCAGCUUCCACCCCAAGAACGGCUUCUUCUACCCCAAGAAGUACCAGCUCCAAAUCUGUAGUGACCGAGAAGAAGGAAGUUAAAAAACCAGCAUCUGAAGCUUUGUCAGGCAGAAAGAAAGGAAAUGAUUCGAAGAAGCGGAAGAAGGAUUCUGAUUCUGAUUCUGAUGAUGAUGAUGAUGAUUUCGUGGCUAGCAGAGUCUCUAAUAAGAAGGCAAGAGCCAAGUAGUUGGAAAUUUAAAACACUCAGAAAUCUCAGUUGUGUGAUUUGAAACAAUCUAAUUGUGUGUUUCAGGACUUAAUUUGUUGAACCCCUCGAAAUUGAAUUCUGUAUAAGAGUAAUGGCAGAGUUUUGUUUCUAGUCUAUUUAACUGGCUCAUUCUUCAGGUGUUCUCUUUCACCAUUGGUAACUCUAGUUAUUUUAUCAAAACCUUAAUGUGUGUGUUCCUUUGUACACUUUUCUAAACUCUUAUUAUAAGAGUUGUUGAUGAUGAACCUUUUAUUAAAAAUGAUUUAACUUGAAGUUGGUUGGAUUGUGAAACUUUUGAAUAUGUGAUAAAUCUUUUUGCCAACGAUGGUUUGUAAUGGUAUAGGUAUAUAUUGACUCUACAAAGAGAAGACAACACGUAAGCAUUGAAAUCAGAAUUCACAUGUAAGUUUGUUUGUUUUGUUGAUUAGGUGUUUGGAGAGCUCUUCUGAUAGACUUGGAAGAAAACCUUCAAUCAAAAACGAGAUAAAUAUGAGUUUUAUAAUCUAAACAAUUCAUCAUCAUCAUCAGAUUCAGAGCAAGAGUAAAACGAGAUAGAUUCAGAGCAAGAGUAGAACGAUUCAUCACAGAUUUACAAAACUGGAUCGAAGCUAAAAGCCAAAAACCCACAACAUAGAAACGAGAUGGAUGAUCGAAUCAUGAAACAUACCUGAAAUCGCGAGAAGAAAAAGUAGAAAAUGGAGAAAUCUUGUACGGAUUAAGAGAAUCAAAGCCGGAGAAGACGAAUCGAGAAGCAAAGAUCGAUUUUGCCAGACCGAUCGAGAAGAAAAGUCGAAAAGAAUCGCAAAAUAUUUUUUCCCCAAAUUGACUAAACUCUAGAAAUCAAGUGUUUUGGGCCAACCCAACAUCCAUUUGAUUUGGACCAGUUAACCCAUGGACAAAGUAGGUCUUUAGCCCAGUUAGACCAAAAGUUAUUUGGGUAUUACCAUCACCUACCCAUAUUUGUUUUGAAUGGGUGAACCCAUGAGUGGCCCAACCAAUUGACACCCCUAGUUUGAGCAAACCAUAGAAGGUCUCUAAUUCACAACCGGCUAGAUCCUUCUUGUAAGCGGUGCACCUCGUAGUUUAUACACCAAACAGAUUGAAUUAUUAUUAUUUACAUAUUUCUGCUUUAAUCGAAUUUAAAUUCAAAAUUUUAAUAAUUUAGACCACCUUAUAUAUAAUUUUAAGAAGUAAAUAUAGAUUAAUUAAGAAAAGGCCUAACAUUAUUAAGAUACAAAUACAUGUGAAAGUUUGAAAUAAUCUAUUUAAUGAAAAAAAUAUACCGUACACUUAUUAUGUCUUAAAAAUUGAUAGAUAUAUAUAUAUAUAUAUAAUAUAUACCAAUUUAAAAUUGAAAACAAAAUGUUUAUAUAAAAAUAAACAAAAACAAAAACUCCUGCGGUUGCGCGAGCCAAGAUCUAUUUAUGAUUAAAGAAAAGCAUUUUUGUGGUCCGCUUUAGGCGCUAUACGAAUCACAGACCGGCACUGAUCACAGAUUCACAGUAGACAAACUCUAACAUAACUAACCUUCAUAACGCACACGUACUGUUUCUUGUAUCACUUCACAAACUAAUACAAAACACCCUAUAUCUCCAAUCUCUCCAUUUUUUUACUAUGUACGUGAGCCCAUGACAAUAUCUUGAAAACCACAUCUUCCAUACUAAUAUCAUAACGUGUUUGGUAACGAGGAGAAUAAAAGAGCUCCACUAAGUUGCCAUUUACAAGAUUAAUUCUAAGUUCUAACAGAUAAGUCAGUCAAUAAACUCCACAGCCUCUGCAUGUUUCACUGAAAAAUAGUACUGAGGAAACAAAACUGACUUCACACUUCUUGGUGUCUUCCAUAAAUGUUCGAGAACAUUACAGCGUUCUUAAGUUUGGUGUGUCAAAUUAUAUGAACGUCACCACAACGAAAUCCGAUUAAUUGACAUUAUUAGAAAAAUUAAUUCUAAUCAAGAUUUGUUUGCUAGCAAAUAUAUGUAAUAUUAUAUCUCGAAGUUGUAUAUAAUCAUGAAACCUCAGUAAGAAGCUCGAUCCAUACAAGCUCAAGCUUCUUCUUACACCACACCUGAUGGAAGACGAAGAACAAGCUGUCCACCCAUUAAACUGUUUCCGAAAAACAGACAGAAGUUCCAAGUCUUUAGGCAUUCAAAGGUUUUCAACAAUAGUGUCUAUAAUUAACAUCCUUCAUUAAUUUUGUUUUACCUCUGGACAUAGUAAUAACAGAAAUCUGCAAGAAUGAAGGUUUGGACGAUUUCAGAGAGAAGGACCAUUAUAGGCCAUAAUCCAUAUCCUAAUGCAGUCAGUAACCGCCCUCCCGAAUCCAACACCUACA
RNAcentral lists this long non-coding RNA (8927 nucleotides) under Brassica napus (rape). RNAcentral describes it as "long non-coding RNA (BNAP_LNC005046)". Lineage: Eukaryota; Viridiplantae; Streptophyta; Magnoliopsida; Brassicales; Brassicaceae. The record is from RNAcentral.